UAAGACCUGUGUAACACUACUACACAUCAACUGAACGCAAAUCAAACACUUUAAUUAAGCUAAGGCCUC
Molecule: transfer RNA, 69 nt
Filed under: Sceloporus ochoterenae
Lineage: Eukaryota; Metazoa; Chordata; Lepidosauria; Squamata; Phrynosomatidae
Description: tRNA-Ala
Source: RNAcentral